AAAUAUGUGGUAUAUGAAAGGAAUACUCCACUGUUUUAGAAGCUAGUUUAGUUAACCUAAGGAGUACUACACUGGUUUUGAAAAUGCUUGUAUAAAGUUGUCUCUAGCAUAGAGACUAAAUUUACCAGACCAUAAAAUUAGCAGGAAGGUUGCAAACUCGGGGGUGUGGUGUUAGAAGGACUUCAGUAAUUAGAGGACAGGAGGGUUCUAAUGAAAGAUUUUGCUAAAAACUGGAGGAUCCUAAAAGAACGGCUGCUUGAUUUUGGCAUUUUUUUGUUUUUUAAAUAGUCCCCCAACUUUGUUGAAACACUAACAUGCUGGAAUAUCCCUUAAAUAGGAAGCAUCCAUUUAAAUAUAUCUAUGCUGAAAAUCACACAAAAGCAUCAAACAUGGUGUAAUAAUUGCAUCAACAUCUCCACAUUAUCACACAAAUGUAGUCCAUGUGGUGCGUUAACACGUUUAGUCUUAAGCAAUAAUUAAAGAUCUAAAAUUGUUACCCUUAGCUGUUACCCACCCAGGUACUUACACAGAUUCACAUCGCAGUAUCUUUCACUUCACACUGGACUUGACCAAAAAUGCAGCCUCAUUUAUCAAACUCGUUUCCCAAAAUCCUUCAGACAUUCAUCAGAUUUUUUUUUCUGUCAAUGAUGUGUUUUUGUUUACUAAAUAGAAUGACUUUUUUAACAUUAAAAAAAGAUUCAGUCUCACAGCUGUUUCUUCACUUUUCAUGUUUUACACAAAAGUUGCAGGAAAAUAAUAUUACACCCCGAUGUGUAACUUCUGAAAUUCCAAGGUUUUUAUUUUUUAAGCAACAGUUUCAUUUUUGUUUUCGCAUGAUAAAAAGAUUUUUUUAUAAUGACAAUGAUGAAAAGCGACUAAUUUACUCGAACUCUGCUAAGUACCACUUUGAAGUCUCUGCACUUGACUCAAGUCUUUCCAUGUUAUGUUACUUAACACCAAUUACUAGUUUCUUCAAGGUAAAACCAAACAGAAAGCUUAUUAUAUACAAUGCAUUGCUCAGUGAUUCUCAACCUUUUUAGCUUUUUACAGCUUUACAAGAAACAGCCCCAUUUCAGAUGUCUGUAAUUUGUUCUCAGUUCCGCUACAAUAGAUCUCUCAAACUUCUCGGAAAGUUUGAUUUUAAAAAUGUUUGACGCUUAAAGAGGUUAAAUGAAUAAAUUAAUUUCAAUGCCUUCAAAAAGUAAAUGCAAACUUUUGUAGCAGAACUUGGUUUUUGUUAUUUCCUGCACCAUUAAUUGUUUUAACAUCUGAUUUGUCUUCAGAGGUUCCUCACACAGCCACCAAACUGUAAAAAAAAAACCCAAAAAACUCCGUAUUAACCAACUGCAACUGGAAAAUACUGUUUAUACAUUUAUGUAUUAGUAUUAUAAAGUCACAUGUAGCAAUGAAAUAUCAGUCACAAGACACUGUGCUUCAAUUAUAUUCUUCUGAUCAUACUUUUAUUGUGUGGCUAACUUCUACUGGAAUAUUUAUACAAAACUUACAGUUCUGAGUAUUUCCACUAUUGAUAUCACAUCAUUUCUUAGCAUUUUCUAACCGUAGUACAUAUACAGUUGUGGAAAAAAGUUUUGGGACACCCCAUAUAUUUGUGAAGUAUUGCAUUAAAAAUCACUUUUAGGUCUUCAAGUGUACUUUCUUUUUGUGCAAUCACAGCCAGAAUACUAAACAAAUGCUAAAAAAA
This is a long non-coding RNA of Amphiprion ocellaris (clown anemonefish), 1702 nucleotides long. NCBI's taxonomy places the organism in Eukaryota, Metazoa, Chordata, Actinopteri, Pomacentridae. The record is from Ensembl.